CGGAGGCCGGGCGGCGCGGAAUGGUCUUGGGGCUCCCGCCUCCUGCACUGAUCGCGCCGCCCUCCCUGCCGGGGGCCGGCGCCUGGGCUUGAUUGUCCGGGUCCGAGCCCCGGCGAGGUUACUUUGAGGAAA
Molecule: ribosomal RNA, 132 nt
Filed under: Codium tomentosum
Lineage: Eukaryota; Viridiplantae; Chlorophyta; Ulvophyceae; Bryopsidales; Codiaceae
Description: partial 18S ribosomal RNA
Source: RNAcentral